Molecule: long non-coding RNA, 1647 nt
Organism: Macaca fascicularis (crab-eating macaque)
Lineage: Eukaryota; Metazoa; Chordata; Mammalia; Primates; Cercopithecidae
Source: Ensembl
GACAACCUCCAGGGAGACCUUUCAUCCAAGCGCCACAGUCCCCAUCAUCAUCAACCCAGGAAGGGGAGAAAGCAGGAUUCCUGCAUCUGCCUGUUCUAACACUUUGGUUUUUCAUUUUUCUCCUGCUUCUAAACAUAGCUGAUGGGUGCUCCUUUUUCAUAGAGGGAGGCUUUCGUAUGGCUGCCCUUCCUGAAGCUCAUCACAUUCCUGCCGAUGGAGGUCCCAGGACAUGCUCGCUCCCACUUACCCUUCAGAAUGCACAGCCCUGAUGAUGGGACUGCAGGGCCAGAGGGUGUGUGGGGGCACCUGUGUGCAGGUGUUUGCUGCCGGUGGGGAGCUGGGGCCACUGGAGGAUGAGGGGAUGGUGCUCGGAAGCUUCUUUUCAGUGCAUUGGAAACAGGCAGUUGGAAGGUGACGCCACCUUCCUGAGCUAUACAGAUCUUCAUUCAUUUACUUGGUAUUACGUAUUCCAACUCACCCUGAAAAACCAAUGAACAACAGGUAAAAUGUCCACUUAGAAUCCUACUGUCGAGUCCAGGGAACUUGUAGAAAGAGAAUUCCUCAAGUUCUAAUUCAUAGGUGAGUAGGGAGUAACACAAUACCGUGUUUUAGCUGCUUCUGCUAAAAAUAAGUCUCUGAAAACCUCUUUCCUUAGAAAUUCCCAUCGAGGGAGGCUCUGAGAACACUUUCCACCCUCAAGACACUUAAUUAACUCCACGGGCGUCCACGGGGACUGUUUGAACUGGAGGCAUCUGAACCCAGGAAGGCAGCUCCGGGGCUGGGCACGGUCCUCCGGGAGCUCUGCCUUCCUCCUGGGACACACCAUGAUGGAGGCUUGAACAUCAGGAGAAAUUCUGCAAGAACAGCAGAUCCCGGACUGUGCGCCCUUCAUAUUAGAGGAUGACCAGUUGUUUCUGAGCAGCCCCUGCCUGGUUUGGGUUGGCCUGAAUGCACCCUGGGGAGAGAGAAUUGUAAUACCAACUUUUGUCCACUUGAGGAAUACUGAUUGAACUCCAACAAAGUGCCCGGCACAAGACCAGCAGCCGAGGAGAAGGCUCUAAGCACAGCAGAAAAAAGUCCCUGCUUGCUGGGAGCUUGUGUGCUGGUGAAGGAAGACAGGCAGACACGCAGGAGAUGUGCACCCUGUUAGAUGAGGAGCGUGAGGAGAUGAGGACAGGCAGGCCAGGGGAAGAGGAAGCAGCAGAGUCGGCCUUGGGCAAGGUCGGAAAUUUCACAAAGGUACCAAGGAAGGCAGUGGCCACUUUGGCCAAGGUUGUAGGAGACUUUCCCAGGUUGGACACUGAAAGUUCCAGUCCCAGGAAACCCCCCAGUCCCAGGCAAACUGUGGAGAGCAGGGCAGGUGUGUUUUGGGUGCUGCCGUGGGGGAUGGGGCACCUGCCAUGAGGACGUCCUAGAAGAACGUUCUGAGCAGCUCUGCACAAACAAGCCCAGGGCGGCAUGCUGUUUACUCACUCACUGAUGCCAUAAAACGUACCUGCCUGCGGUCGGGCGCUGUGGCUCACUCCUGUAAUCCCAGCACUUUGGGAGGCUGAAGCGGGCGGAUCACAAGGUCAGGAGAUUGAGACCAUCCUGGCUAACACAGUGAAACCCCGUCUGUACUAAAAAUACAAAAAAAAAAAAAAAAAA